AGUGAACGCUGGCGGUAGGCCUAACACAUGCAAGUCGAACGGCAGCACAGUAAGAGCUUGCUCUUACGGGUGGCGAGUGGCGGACGGGUGAGGAAUACAUCGGAAUCUACUUUUUCGUGGGGGAUAACGUAGGGAAACUUACGCUAAUACCGCAUACGACCUACGGGUGAAAGCAGGGGAUCUUCGGACCUUGCGCGAUUGAAUGAGCCGAUGUCGGAUUAGCUAGUUGGCGGGGUAAAGGCCCACCAAGGCGACGAUCCGUAGCUGGUCUGAGAGGAUGAUCAGCCACACUGGAACUGAGACACGGUCCAGGCUCCUAGGGGAGGCAGCAGUGGGGAAUAUUGGACGAUGGGGGCAAGCCUGGUCCAGCCAUACCGCGUGGGUGAAGAAGGCCUUCGGGUUGUAAAGCCCUUUUGUUGGGAAAGAAAAGCAGCAGGUUAAUACCCCGCUGUUCUGACGGUACCGAAAGAAUAAGCACCGGCUAACUUCGUG
This 492-nucleotide ribosomal RNA is filed under the name uncultured bacterium. Its description in RNAcentral is "partial 16S ribosomal RNA". It matches the Rfam family "Bacterial small subunit ribosomal RNA", at positions 29 to 507 of the family's 1533-position model. The record is from RNAcentral.